GUGUCAGCAGCCGCGGUAAAACGUAGGAGCCAAGCGUUAUCCGAAUUCACUGGGCGUAAAGCGCGUGCAGGCGGCCUGAUAAGUUGGAUGUGAAAUCUCCUGGCUCAACUGGGAGAGGCCGUUCAAUACUGUUGGGCUAGAGGGCGACAGAGGGAGGUGGAAUUCCGGGUGUAGUGGUGAAAUGCGUAGAUAUCCGGAGGAACACCAGAGGCGAAGGCGACCUCCUGGGUCGCACCUGACGCUCAGACGCGAAAGCUAGGGGAGCGAACGGGAUUAGAAACCCCGGUAGUCCUAGCCGUAAACGAUGUAGACUGGGUGUCGGCGGGGUAAAAGCCGUCGGUGCCGAAGCCAACGCGAUAAGUCUACCGCCUGGGGACUACGGCCGCAAGGUUAAA
Molecule: ribosomal RNA, 395 nt
Filed under: uncultured bacterium
Lineage: Bacteria
Description: bacterial SSU rRNA
Rfam family: Bacterial small subunit ribosomal RNA
Source: RNAcentral